RNAcentral lists this ribosomal RNA (274 nucleotides) under uncultured bacterium. RNAcentral describes it as "partial 16S ribosomal RNA". It matches the Rfam family "Bacterial small subunit ribosomal RNA", at positions 523 to 796 of the family's 1533-position model. The record is from RNAcentral.
AUACGGAGGGUGCAAGCGUUAAUGGGAAUUACUGGGCGUAAAGGGCGCGUAGGCGGUCUAUCAAGUCAGGUGAGAAAUCCCACGGCUCAACCGUGGAGGUGCAUCUGAAACUGAUAGACUUGAGUAUGGGAGAGGAAAGUGGAAUUCCCGGUGUAGAGGUGAAAUUCGUAGAUAUCGGGAGGAACACCAGUGGCGAAGGCGACUUUCUGGACCAAUACUGACGCUGAGGCGCGAAAGCGUGGGGAGCAAACAGGAUUAGAAACCCUAGUAGUCC